RNAcentral lists this ribosomal RNA (436 nucleotides) under uncultured bacterium. RNAcentral's name for it is "partial 16S ribosomal RNA". It matches the Rfam family "Bacterial small subunit ribosomal RNA", at positions 29 to 507 of the family's 1533-position model. The record is from RNAcentral.
AACGAACGCUGGCGGCAUGCCUAACACAUGCAAGUCGAACGAGAUCCUUCGGGGUCUAGUGGCGCACGGGUGCGUAACGCGUGGGAAUCUGCCCUUAGGUUCGGAAUUACAGUUAGAAAUGACUGCUAAUACCGGAUGAUGACGUUAAGUCCAAAGAUUUAUCGCCUGAGGAUGAGCCCGCGUAGGAUUAGCUAGUUGGUGUGGUAAAGGCGCACCAAGGCGACGAUCCUUAGCUGGUCUGAGAGGAUGAUCAGCCACACUGGGACUGAGACACGGCCCAGACUCCUACGGGAGGCAGCAGUGGGGAAUAUUGGACAAUGGGCGCAAGCCUGAUCCAGCAAUGCCGCGUGAGUGAUGAAGGCCUUAGGGUUGUAAAGCUCUUUUACCCGGGAUGAUAAUGACAGUACCGGAAGAAUAAGCCCCGGCUAACUCCGUG